UACGGAAGGCAGCAGUGGGGAAUAUUGCACAAUGGGCGCAAGCCUGAUGCAGCCAUGCCGCGUGUAUGAAGAAGGCCUUCGGGUUGUAAAGUACUUUCAGUCGUGAGGAAGGUGUUAAGGUUAAUAACCUUAGCAAUUGACGUUAGCGACAGAAGAAGCACCGGCUAACUCCGUGCCAGCAGCCGCGGUAAUACGGAGGGUGCGAGCGUUAAUCGGAAUUACUGGGCGUAAAGGGCACGCAGGCGGUUAAUUAAAGUUGGAUGUGAAAUCCCCGGGCUUAACCUGGGAAUGGCAUUCAAGACUGGUUAGCUAGAGUCUUGUAGAGGGGGUAGAAUUCCAUGUGUAGCGGUGAAAUGCGUAGAGAUGUGGAGGAAUACCGGUGGCGAAAGGCGGCCCCCUGGGACAAAGACUGACGCUCAUGUGCGAAAGCGUGGGGAGCAAACAGGAUUAGAUACC
This 456-nucleotide ribosomal RNA is filed under the name uncultured bacterium. RNAcentral describes it as "bacterial SSU rRNA". It matches the Rfam family "Bacterial small subunit ribosomal RNA", at positions 340 to 786 of the family's 1533-position model. The record is from RNAcentral.